AAUAUAAUAUAAUAUAAUAUAAUAUAAAAUAAAAUAAAAUAAAAUAAAAUAAAUGCCCUACAAUGCUCCAGAGUGUACUGUUUAUCAGUUUAGGGCUUCUUGCGGCGUCAGUCCCGCGAGCAUCAUACGAGAGUUUCAGCGACUUUACUACACAGAAGACGCCGGAAAUACUGUUUUCAAAUCAAGAUUCUCCCAAAAUAUUCUCCGGACGUUCAUUUUCAAAAGCUGAAAAUGUCCCUGAGCCUAACAAUGGCGGUCUGGUUGUGAAGUGUGAGGAGCAAAACUGGAGAAUUGUGGUGAAAAGGCAGUACUUUGGACGCGGUGUUUCUCUUCCCACAUCAGUUCGGCUGGGUGAAGAUGGCGCCGCUGGAGACUGCACUCCUCUGAAAGACUUCACUACUUCUACCGAGAUGGUCAUUUCUGCUGGAUUACAAGACUGUGGAAGUGAAUCUCGGGUAAGUGGCAACUGGCUCAUUUAUUCCAAUAAGCUGGUAUUUUCGCCUGGUACGCCGCUAACCUGGGAUGGUGUCCUUGUAUUGAAACAUCCACCUACAGUCGUUCCUAUUGAAUGCCGUUAUAAAAGAAAGUUUCGAGUGAGUGCAGAACCACUGAGCCCCACCUGGCUGCCCAUGACCUCAACCAUUGAAGCAGUAGGGUUACUGCACUUCUCUCUCAGUGUAAUUAAAGGUGAUGUAGGCUCCCUUCGUCCGUCCACAAUAUUCCAGCAGGGAGAGCCAUUGUUCCUGGAAGCAGCAGUGCAUGGUCCUAUGCACCGUCCACUACGAAUCUAUGUGGACCACUGUGUGGCUACUGUUGAUUCUUACCCAUUAUCAAGGCCUAGCUAUGAGUUCAUAUCCAACCAUGGGUGCCUGAUAGAUAGCAUGUGGCCAUACUCAUCCUCUAAGUUUUACAGCAGGCCAAAGCAGAAUAUUCUCAGGUUCAGUGUACAGGCACUCUACUUCCCUCAAGAUCUGAGAAAACAGAUUUUCAUCAGUUGCCACUUGAGAGCUGCUCCUGAUUACACUCUGCCUGACUCCCAAAACAAAGCUUGCUAUUUUCAUGGACCUUCAUUCAGUUGGCAUGCAGUAGAGGGGAGCAGCAAUGUGUGUCUGUGUUGUGAAACUGCAGACUGCAAGUCUGGGAAGGUGGACAUGUCCGGCACAUAUCUAGAAUCCUUAACUUGUCUCUUAAAGAGGAGCAGACCAGAUUUGUUGGCCCACUUCACAUUCUGCCCUCAAACGUACACUGGACUGGAAAACUUACCAUAGGGACAUGAGUCUCACCUGAGCCCUUCAUCUAAGAUAAACACAUCUGCCAAAAGAAAUGAAGUGUUUUGAAGAAUCUGUAUCUCUUCCCAGUGCAGUGUCAUAAUUCAAAAUAUCCCCAUAUGGCUGCUAUCAGCAGAGAAAUGAAGAAAAAAUACCUUGUUGUGUGUCACGUAUGCAAGUCAUGUUUACACAGUGUUCGUCAUAUGCACUGGAGCUGUGAAGAAAAUUUGCUCUUUCUGUAUGCUCAAACAGUUUGGAUUAAAGAGAUUUGACAAAUGUGAGAUAAAUGUAUAGACUGUCUUCUUGCUUAUGUGUGUUUUCAUGGUACUGAGGAAUGUUUUUCUGUGCCUUAUUUUUUCCUAAAGCAAAUAUUUGCUAGUGUUUGGUUGUCAGCCCCCUACACAUUAAACUGCAUUAAACCUUUAGCCCAGUUUUGUGUGUUCCACAGUCAGUAGUGAUUACUGAUAGCUCUCCUCUCCUACAGAUAUUAAGGAAUUAAAUUAUACAUGAAAACCAGAUAUUUCAGGCCUUUGAUUUAUCAUG
Pangasianodon hypophthalmus (striped catfish) is the source of this 1811-nucleotide RNA transcript. It is a transcript of the gene named zona pellucida sperm-binding protein 3, with no coding region annotated. The record is from RefSeq and is a predicted model, not a curated record. The transcript is spliced from 10 exons. NCBI's taxonomy places the organism in Eukaryota, Metazoa, Chordata, Actinopteri, Siluriformes, Pangasiidae.